AUUGAACGCUGGCGGCAGGCCUAACACAUGCAAGUCGAGCGAGCGGCGGACGGGUGAGUAAUGCCUAGGAAACUGCCUGAUGGAGGGGGAUAACUACGGGAAACGGUAGCUAAUACCGCAUACCAUCGGAUGUGCCCAUAUGGGAUUAGCUAGUAGGUGGGGUAACGGCUCACCUAGGCGAUGAUCCCUAGCUGGUCUGAGAGGAUGACCAGCCACAUUGGAACUAGGACACGGUCCGGACUCCUACGGAAGGAAGCAGUGGGGAAUAUUGCACAAUGGGCGCAAGCCUGAUACAUCCAUGCCGCGUGUAUGAAGAAGGCCUUCGGGUUGUAAAGUACUUUCAGCGGGGAGGCGUUACCCGCAGAAAAAGCACCGGCUAACUCCGUGCCAGCAGCCGCGGUAAUUC
This 406-nucleotide ribosomal RNA is filed under the name uncultured bacterium. RNAcentral's name for it is "partial 16S ribosomal RNA". It matches the Rfam family "Bacterial small subunit ribosomal RNA", at positions 30 to 526 of the family's 1533-position model. The record is from RNAcentral.